UGUAUUAAUUACAUUUAAAUUUAAUUUUUAAUUCAUUCAUCAUAAUAUAUUUUAAUGUCUACAUUUAGGCAACUAAUUUUUUUAUAAUAUAUAUUCCGAUAACAAUUUUGUAUGUUCUUUAUUUAGGUACAUUAAUACAUUUGAAUAUUUUGGUAUAUCCAUCGGUACAAACAUGUAGUUAAAUUGAUUCAGUAUAAUGCAUUUCGGUCAAUAUAAUGUAUUACGUUACGUACACUUUGGUACACACAUUUGAGUAUUGACUUUUAGGUACAUUAAUUGAAUUAUUAUAUUUCGGUAAAUACAUUUAGGUACAUACAUUUUGGUAUUGAUAUUUAGGUACAUACAUUUUUGGUAUUGACAUUUAGGUACAUACAUUUCGGUAUUGACAUUUAGGUACAUUAAUUCAAUAUAAUACAUUUCGGUACAUACAUUUAGGUUCAUUAUAAUAUAUUUCGGUACAAUCAUGUAGGUACAAAUAUUUCGGUACAAAAAACUCAAUUUUAAAUAUUUUGGCACAAUCAUUUCUGAACACUUAUGUAUUUAUAUAUUUUUGUAUCACAAAUUUUUUUAAAUAUUUUCUCAUUUACAUUCAUUUCUAAUUAAAAAAAAACUAAAUAUGUGUAUAUUAAUAAAAUUAAAAUUUAAUAUGGAGAGGUUAAAUAAAAAUACACAUUAAAUAACAAAAAUUGAAUGUAAAUUUUGAUAAAAGUACACUCAAGGGAUUAAAUUGAAUAUUUAAUCUAGCACCAGGUUUUUUUUUAAUUUUAAUCUUUUGCAAGGAUUAAUGUUCAAAAAUCCCAAUAAUUCCCAUUGCUGAAAAAUUAUAUGUAUAUAAUUAUUAGGAUGAUUUCCUUACCUUCACAGACACAAAAGAAAAAAGUGCAUGAAUUAUAUGACCAGUUUACACCUAAUUAAGACGAUCAUUUCCUUACCUUACCUUUCCACAGACACAAAAGAAAAAGUGCAUGAAUUAUAUGACAAGUUUGCACCUACCAUGAAUGCUGUUUGAACAUGGUACGUAGAAUAAUGAACCCAACAUAUUAUGUGAUGCAAAUUAAAUAGGAAAGUCAAUUUCGUUACUUACUAUGUUGCAAGUUCAAUUCUAAAAAAAAUUAACACCAAGUCCUAGUCAACUAAUAAUAUGUGAUAAUAAUCCCAUGCAAAUCUUGAGCCUCUCAUUCUCAGGGACCUAAAGCAGCUUGCACAUGGUAAAGUCUUCAUUAACUGACUUUUGUAGAUAUCAUGAUGCGAGGAUGUCAUCCAAGUAAGUUCGAUCGCCCGACAUUUUAUGUGCCAUGAAUAUGAUUAGACAAGUAGAACCAUGCCGUCUACAUAAUUUUUCAAAUUGCAAUCCACUACUUAAUUACGAUCAGGUCAGCAUUUGCAACGUACAAAUGCAUCCAUGGAAAAGUUGGAAAUUAAACAAAUUAAGUUUCACGUCGUUCACCAAAGAUUGUAUGAUUGAUUAAAUGAUUGCGUGGUGGAUGAGCAAUCUAAAAAAUAACCUAGUACAUUCCAACAUGGCAACAUAAAAGGCAUAAAAUAUUAAAUGAAAACAUUGGUACUGGUUAGCAUGCAUUUGACUAGGUGAUGUUUUAAUUUUCUCCGUGAAAUAAUUUGUCAAAUAUAUCUGUAUUAUUUGUUAUUCGACUAUUCGUUGAGGAGCUUUUUUUUGGUUCAUGGUGGAGAACAUCCAUUAUACGAAGUCUAAACGGGCGGAUUACAAAAUACAAAGCUCUAGAACCAGCAUAUAGAAAGAAGACGUUACUUAUGCAAACAAAACAUGAGUAAUAGUUCUUCACUGUUGCAAUUACAAAAUAGUACAUAAAGGAAAAAACAUAAAAGGGUUUCAACCCAAAAAGAAAAACCCUCUAUAGAGGCCCAAACAGUAGAGACCUAAACAUAGCUAGUAGAUAAAAUCCUAGAAGCCUAGGUGAGAGAUAACCCCUUGCAGCUGCCCGAAAGCUAGAAUCAGCCAACAACCCACAUUGCCAAAUCCGCACCACAAAAUAAUAGUUGUUCGCCUUAACAUCGUACCAUAUACAGACCUUCAAAAAGUCCUUGAUAAUCAACAAAACUAAACCACAAACAAACAACAUCAAAAUACCCA
This 2110-nucleotide long non-coding RNA is filed under the name Malus domestica (apple). RNAcentral's name for it is "long non-coding RNA (MDOM_LNC013682)". Lineage: Eukaryota; Viridiplantae; Streptophyta; Magnoliopsida; Rosales; Rosaceae. The record is from RNAcentral.